RNAcentral lists this transfer RNA (71 nucleotides) under Loxodonta africana (African savanna elephant). It matches the Rfam family "tRNA". Rfam says of the family: Transfer RNA (tRNA) molecules are approximately 80 nucleotides in length. Lineage: Eukaryota; Metazoa; Chordata; Mammalia; Proboscidea; Elephantidae. The record is from Rfam by way of RNAcentral.
GCAGUGGUGGCUCAGUGGUAGAAUUCUUACCUGUCACGCAGGAGACCUGGGUUCGAUUCCCGGCCGAUGCA